ACCUUCCAAAAAUUAAGUCGGACCAUCGUCCUAUUCUUUUGGUUCUUAACUCGAGUAUUUCUCAACCCAGGGAAAGACCGAUUUUUAGCGGGUUGGAUUGAACACCCGGGGUUUGAGAAUUUCUUAAAGGAGAACUGGGAUUCUUCUGGCAAUUUCACUGAGACUCUUGGAAGGUUCACUCAUAAGCUUAAGGAAUGGAAUAAAAAUGUUUAUGGUAAUAUUACUACUCGUAAGAGAGAUCUUAUCAAUAGAAUUGCUUGCAUUCAGAAG
This 270-nucleotide long non-coding RNA is filed under the name Gossypium barbadense (sea-island cotton). Its description in RNAcentral is "long non-coding RNA (GBAR_LNC000444)". The record is from RNAcentral. Lineage: Eukaryota; Viridiplantae; Streptophyta; Magnoliopsida; Malvales; Malvaceae.